This is a transfer RNA of Microvirga vignae, 72 nucleotides long. It matches the Rfam family "tRNA". Rfam says of the family: Transfer RNA (tRNA) molecules are approximately 80 nucleotides in length. Their secondary structure includes four short double-helical elements and three loops (D, anti-codon, and T loops). NCBI's taxonomy places the organism in Bacteria, Pseudomonadati, Pseudomonadota, Alphaproteobacteria, Hyphomicrobiales, Methylobacteriaceae. The record is from Rfam.
GGGCGCGUAGCUCAGCGGGAGAGCAUUCGCUUCACACGCGAAGGGUCACAGGUUCAAUCCCUGUCGCGCCCA